AGUGAACGCUGGCGGUAGGCCUAACACAUGCAAGUCGAACGGCAGCACAGUAAGAGCUUGCUCUUACGGGUGGCGAGUGGCGGACGGGUGAGGAAUACAUCGGAAUCUACUUUUUCGUGGGGGAUAACGUAGGGAAACUUACGCUAAUACCGCAUACGACCUACGGGUGAAAGCAGGGGAUCUUCGGACCUUGCGCGAUUGAAUGAGCCGAUGUCGGAUUAGCUAGUUGGCGGGGUAAAGGCCCACCAAGGCGACGAUCCGUAGCUGGUCUGAGAGGAUGAUCAGCCACACUGGAACUGAGACACGGUCCAGACUCCUACGGGAGGCAGCAGUGGGGAAUAUUGGACAAUGGGCGCAAGCCUGAUCCAACCAUACCGCGUGGGUGAAGAAGACCUUCGGGUUGUAAAGCCCUUUUGUUGGGAAAGAAAAGCAGCAGGUUAAUACCCCGCUGUUCUGACGGUACCCAAAGAAUAAGCACCGGCUAACUUCGUG
This 492-nucleotide ribosomal RNA is filed under the name uncultured bacterium. RNAcentral describes it as "partial 16S ribosomal RNA". It matches the Rfam family "Bacterial small subunit ribosomal RNA", at positions 29 to 507 of the family's 1533-position model. The record is from RNAcentral.